Nannospalax galili (Upper Galilee mountains blind mole rat) is the source of this 552-nucleotide long non-coding RNA. RefSeq lists it as uncharacterized. The record is from RefSeq and is a predicted model, not a curated record. The transcript has 3 exons. NCBI's taxonomy places the organism in Eukaryota, Metazoa, Chordata, Mammalia, Rodentia, Spalacidae.
AUGAAAACAAAAAACAAAGAAAGGAAGAAAGAAAGAAAAGAAAAAAAAACCCAGAAGAAAUGAAUUUCACAUGCCAAUAAAAGAAACUAGAACACAUUCUAUAGAAGAAAUUAUCUAUCAACCCUAGCACUCUAUGAGACACCCUGCCUCAAAAAAAUGAGCAUGUUGGAGAACGAGAUAGAAGAUGACACCUGAUGUUGACCUGGCCUUUACAUGUGCACACACGGACUUGCUGCAAGAAACAAGAAGAGAGACCCAAACCUGCAAAACAUCCUUGAAAAGGCCAGCAGCCACAGUGGACUUUCCUGGUGCUCAUGAACCCAGCGGCAGUGGGGCAGGAGGAGGCAGAUGCUGGCACCUGUUACUGUCCAGGGCUGGUCAGUGAGUGCUCUGGUCUCCGCUCCUGGCUCAUGUUCUUGCCCCAGGACAUGGGCCUCAGAGCUUCAGAGGUGACUUUCCACCUUUGUGGCCUCUUCUUAAACCUCAAAUGGCCUUUUAAAAAUUUUUUAUUUUUAAUUGGCCUAAAGUUAAACAUCUUUUUGGGCACAGUGU